UACGUAGGGUCCGAGCGUUGUCCGGAAUUACUGGGCGUAAAGAGCUCGUAGGUGGUUUGUCGCGUUGUUCGUGAAAACUCACAGCUCAACUGUGGGCGUGCGGGCGAUACGGGCAGACUAGAGUACUGCAGGGGAGACUGGAAUUCCAGGUGUAGCGGUGAAAUGCGUAGAUAUCUGGAGGAACACCGGUGGCGAAGGCGGCAUCCUGGACCGGCAUUGACGCUGAGGAGCGAAAGCCAGGGGAGCAAACGGG
Molecule: ribosomal RNA, 253 nt
Filed under: uncultured bacterium
Lineage: Bacteria
Description: partial 16S ribosomal RNA
Rfam family: Bacterial small subunit ribosomal RNA
Source: RNAcentral